Molecule: ribosomal RNA, 458 nt
Filed under: uncultured bacterium
Lineage: Bacteria
Description: SSU rRNA
Rfam family: Bacterial small subunit ribosomal RNA
Source: RNAcentral
AGAGUGAACGCUGGCGGCAGGCCUAACACAUGCAAGUCGAGCGGCAGCGCGGGUAGCAAUACCUGGCGGCGAGCGGCGGACGGGUGAGGAAUACGUGGGAACAUACCUUUUGGUUCGGAACAACACAGGGAAACUUGUGCUAAUACCGGAUAAGCCCUUACGGGGAAAGAUUUAUCGCCAAAAGAUUGGCCCGCGUCUGAUUAGCUAGUUGGUGAGGUAACGGCUCACCAAGGCGACGAUCAGUAGCUGGUCUGAGAGGAUGAUCAGCCACAUUGGGACUGAGACACGGCCCAAACUCCUACGGGAGGCAGCAGUGGGGAAUAUUGGACAAUGGGCGCAAGCCUGAUCCAGCCAUGCCGCGUGAGUGAUGAAGGCCCUAGGGUUGUAAAGCUCUUUGUGCGGGAAGAUAAUGACGGUACCGCAAGAAUAAGCCCGGCUAACUUCGUGCCAGCAGCCGC